UACGUAGGGGGCUAGCGUUGUCCGGAAUCAUUGGGCGUAAAGAGCGUGUAGGCGGCCCGGUAAGUCCGCUGUGAAAGUCGGGGGCUCAACCCUCGAAUGCCGGUGGAUACUGUCGGGCUAGAGUGCGGAAGAGGCGAGUGGAGUUCCUGGUGUAGCGGUGAAAUGCGCAGAUAUCAGGAGGAACACCGAUUGCGAAGGCAGCUCGCUGGGACGUCACUGACGCUGAGGGACGAAAGCUAGGGGAGCGAAUGGG
RNAcentral lists this ribosomal RNA (253 nucleotides) under uncultured bacterium. RNAcentral's name for it is "partial 16S ribosomal RNA". It matches the Rfam family "Bacterial small subunit ribosomal RNA", at positions 524 to 776 of the family's 1533-position model. The record is from RNAcentral.